UACGGAAGGCAGCAGUGGGGAAUAUUGCACAAUGGGCGCAAGCCUGAUGCAGCCAUGCCGCGUGUAUGAAGAAGGCCUUCGGGUUGUAAAGUACUUUCAGUCGUGAGGAAGGUGUUAAGGUUAAUAACCUUAGCAAUUGACGUUAGCGACAGAAGAAGCACCGGCUAACUCCGUGCCAGCAGCCGCGGUAAUACGGAGGGUGCGAGCGUUAAUCGGAAUUACUGGGCGUAAAGGGCACGCAGGCGGUUAAUUAAGUUGGAUGUGAAAUCCCCGGGCUUAACCUGGGAAUGGCAUUCAAGACUGGUUAGCUAGAGUCUUGUAGAGGGGGUAGAAUUCCAUGUGUAGCGGUGAAAUGCGUAGAGAUGUGGAGAAUACCGGUGGCGAAGGCGGCCCCUGGACAAAGGACUGACGCUCAUGUGCGAAAGCGUGGGGAGCAAAC
Molecule: ribosomal RNA, 439 nt
Filed under: uncultured bacterium
Lineage: Bacteria
Description: bacterial SSU rRNA
Rfam family: Bacterial small subunit ribosomal RNA
Source: RNAcentral